AUUAAGUUAAUUAAAUUGCAGUGAAUUAUAAUUCAGUCGUCUUCGUCAACCAAAUACGUGAACAACCUGCACUGAUUUAUUUUUAUUAUAUCAUCAGCCACACCACGUUAUAUAAAAUUCAAAUUCGUAAUCAUUAUCAUCGUCAUUAUCAUCAUCAUCAUCAUCACCGACAUUCACAUUAGCAGUAUAUUGUCAAGUUUUCACCAGUCGCGAAAUAAUAUAAUAAAUCGUAAGAUGGCGUUCCUGAAAUCUCUCCAAAAACAAGCCAUCAAUUUGAACAAAUCAGUUGGAGACUUGGUAGUUGAUGAGCCCUAUGUUAUACGGGCAAUGAAGGAGG
Metopolophium dirhodum (rose-grain aphid) is the source of this 337-nucleotide long non-coding RNA. RefSeq lists it as uncharacterized. The record is from RefSeq and is a predicted model, not a curated record. Lineage: Eukaryota; Metazoa; Arthropoda; Insecta; Hemiptera; Aphididae. The transcript is spliced from 3 exons.